This 65-nucleotide transfer RNA is filed under the name unidentified. Its description in RNAcentral is "Epeorus sp. 01 ZXM-2022a tRNA-Gly". The record is from RNAcentral.
AUCUGCUUAGUAUACAAGUAUAUUUGACUUCCAAUCAAAAGGUUUGAACUUUCUCAAAGUAGAUA